This 501-nucleotide long non-coding RNA is filed under the name Daphnia magna. Its description in RNAcentral is "uncharacterized LOC116922464, transcript variant X1". The record is from RNAcentral. Lineage: Eukaryota; Metazoa; Arthropoda; Branchiopoda; Diplostraca; Daphniidae.
UUGGCCACGUGCUGGGAAGGGAGUUCUUUGUUCUCUGGCUGUUGUGGAAGAAGUAUCUCAUAAUCUUCUUUUGACAUUGAAGUGUGGAUUCUUGAAGUCCUCACCUAGCCAAAUAGCCUCAUCAGAAGGAGUUGAGGGCAUCGAACUUAAACUUAACAAAGGUGAUGUGAUAAGUUUACUUCAACUAGUUUUCUUGUAUUUGUUCCUUUUCCUUUGUUCUAGAUGUUUAUUUUGAAUCAACUGAAAAAUGUCAAUGUCAACAAUAUAGUACAUGUUGGCGUGAAAGCAGAAUUUGUUAGCAAGCAUUUUAAAACCUUAAACAACAAAGAUAAAUUUUGGUGCAAGUUGAACAUCAUUCUGGUGGUAACAGAAGCGAAAGAAGUCUCCUGUUGGCCAUUCGAGUGUUGAGCAACUUAAGAUCACAAUCUGCCGUCUAAAUCUGUGUUAUUGAAAACAGUCAAUGGGCUAACUGGGUGAGUCAACAAAAAAUGGCUGUAAUAU